RNAcentral lists this long non-coding RNA (247 nucleotides) under Daucus carota (carrot). RNAcentral describes it as "long non-coding RNA (DCAR_LNC003061)". The record is from RNAcentral. Lineage: Eukaryota; Viridiplantae; Streptophyta; Magnoliopsida; Apiales; Apiaceae.
CCUGAUCAGCCCCUGCAACAUCAGCAAACGUGACACCAGUCUCAGGAACCUCCUGAAACUUCGAUUUCGACCUCCCAAAAUCCAUAGGCCCCCCUAACCCCCCAGGUCCUCCAGGCCCUCCCUGAGACCUCUGAAACAAAAAGAACAACCCAGCAAAAGCAAGAAACGGAAACACCAAAUUCCCAAUAAAUCCAAGCAACCCAUUGCUUGCUUCACCCUCAGAAACCGAAAUAUCGACACCAUUCAU